RNAcentral lists this ribosomal RNA (406 nucleotides) under uncultured bacterium. Its description in RNAcentral is "partial 16S ribosomal RNA". It matches the Rfam family "Bacterial small subunit ribosomal RNA", at positions 30 to 526 of the family's 1533-position model. The record is from RNAcentral.
AUUGAACGCUGGCGGCAGGCCUAACACAUGCAAGUCGAACGAGUGGCGGACGGGUGAGUCAUGUCUGGGAAACUGCCUGAUGGAGGGGGAUAACUCCUGGAACCGGUAGCUAAUCCCGCAUACCAUCAGAUGUUCCCAGAUGGGGUUGGCUGGUUGGUGGGGUAACGGCUCACCAAGGCGACGAUCCCUAGCUGGUCUGAGAGGAUGACCAGCAAAACUGGAACUGAGACACGGUCCAGACUCCUACGGGAGGCAGCAGUGGGGAAUAUUGCGCAAUGGGCGCAAGCCUGAUGCAGCCAUGCCGCGUGUAUGAAGAAGGCCUUCGGGUUGUAAAGUACUUUCAGCGGGGAGGCGUUACCCGCAGAAGAAGCACCGGCUAACUCCGUGCCAGCAGCCGCGGUAAUAC